CACGAUAAGCAAAUCUACAGGAAAAAAGUCAACUUAGCAUAUAGAUUUUAUCCAUUGCCUUGGCCAUGUUCAAGAAGCACUAAAUUUGGAACAUUUCUACUAUAAAUACAUGAGGCAUCGGGACAAAAAACAAAAGAUGAGCAAUAUCAUAUGAGAAGAAUAAAAAGGAGUUUGGACCAUAGAAUGGUUAACAAUAAAACUAGAAGCAACAUGCACGCUUUGCCGCACCGAGUCAUGAGUCCAGCAUAAAUUUUGCACGUUGCCCCAAGAUGUAUUGCAAAGAGCCUCCAUAUAAGAAAUUACAAUUUGGCUAAUUUGGAUAUAUUGAAACAAUGCAUACAUCCCCUUCUUGGUACAGUAAAACAUUGUUUCAUCUCAGGCGACAACCAUUUAGUUUAGAUUAAAGGAUAACUUUCAGAAAAAUAAUUAACCCUUAAAACCUGUUAACAAAAAAAUACAUUGUCACUAUAGAGUAACUUGGAAAAUUUCAAAAUUUCAAACAUGUUAUCUAGAAUGGCAUUACUUAUUUUGGGCAUAGCUAAACGUACAAGCUUAAUACUACUGAAAUUCUAAAAUCUAUUUGUAUGUGUUCGAUCAGAAGCAAUGUUUGGUUUUGUUCAUAGGUUGUCCCCUGUUUUGUCAUUCCACCUAACUGAAAGAGAUUGUAAUUGGGUCAACAAAUGGCAUACAUUUUUUUAGGUAGACAAACCUAUUUUGUUGAAAAUCUUAACUUUGUAGUUCAGUAGCUAUUGUGUAGGUGUAUUUCAAUCUUAUGGCUUUUUUUGCCUGAGAUUCCUAUAUACUGCUUAAUUUCUUCUUAAUUCCCCGUGUUUACUACCACUAUACCACUAUAUUUGAUAUGUUUUUAUUUAGUUCCAUUUAAUAUUGAUUCAGCUAUAUUAUGGGUGGCUUUGGCAUUUUUCCCUUACAAUCGUGUGUCUGACGAAUUAUGGGGUGUGCCUCUUUCACACUAAUGUCCGUUGCAAACUAGUUGCAAACUAAUCAUGAAAUUCAAUUACUUCAAGUCUUUACUGACAACAUGAUUUACCUCCAAUUCGUUGCUCCUUUUGUUUCAUCACAAAGCAAUGAAGUUUAGUAGCAUAACUUCUAGUAGUAUUAAGAAAAUCCAUAUCAAAGGGACUUAAGAUACUUCUAUGUUUCAUUUUGAUGACACUCUCAUGUGUCAGACUAGUUAUACUUAGUCAAUGUCGUAAAUAGUUGCUAGACACAUACUAGUUCAAUACGGCGACUCCCACCAAUGAAGUUGGCACAGUUUGAUAAAAGACAUGGUUAGUGUGCAUUUUUAACAAUAGUUACAGAAUUUGGCUUUUUGUCUUGUUUCUCACUAUACUUUUGAUUCACCUGCAGCUAGCAUGUUAUGGGUUCAUGUGAUUGUGAUGAAUUUGGUAUAUCCAAAGUCCCACUGCGAUAUCUUUGAUUUUUACAUUAUAUUAUUUCUAGUUCGGGGCAGUGAAGCCUAUUAGUCCUGAAGUGUUAUAUGUGCUUCUGUGAUGGUGGCCACUACCUAUUUGUUGGUAUACUUUCAAGAAUUGAAAAUAUUCUUUUUUUUCAGUAUCUGUUCAAGUGGAUGACGGUUAAUGUACGAGGGAUAGAGAGUCAUGUCUUCAUAUUUAUGGUCGUUAAGAGUAAUGUGCAAUUGAAACUGAAACCUUCAUUUACUAAUAACCAGUAGCAAAGUUCAGGUUUUGUGAGAAGAAAAGUGAACCAAAGGCUAUAGUACUAUUAAUAGGAUAAUGUGUUGCUUCCAGCCCAUGGAUAAGAAUGUUUCAGUCGCUACAGAGAUAGCCGAACAGAGGAAGUUGGCGUAAAAUCUAUGGUCACCUACUGCUUGAAGAUCAAGUUCGACAGUAAUCAGUUUACAAAUUCGGUAGCAUUCAAUUUUGUAAUAGUGAUUUCUAAAAAAUAAUAAUCAUGCCGCUGGUUACUUAGUGCUCAGUGGCACUCAGUUACGUCCAAACGAAUUUUAUUUGUAAUCUUAAGAUGAAUUUUAUUAGACCGCUUUGUUAUUCCAUGGUUACCAAAAAUUCCUUGUGUACAAAAUCAACCAGUGACCUAUCUUUCUUACGGUUACUAAAAAUGCCUCCUACAGAAUUGUGAUAGUGGCCUAUGUUACUUAAAUCAAUCACGUACCAUAUUUCAUUUUUAGUAGAGAACCGGUGUACUCAGUCCAAUGUAAACAGCAAUAUAUCUAAGGUAAAAUACCUGAACUAUAGAAAGGCAGACCUAUAUCUGAAAAAAAACAAAAACACCUCACUACUGUAAGAUUACCUGAUUAGCCGUAAAAUUACAGAAAGAGGCGCUCUGUGGGUUGCUCGCCUACAGGAACAGGAAGUAAAUUUUUUUUUUUGAAAUACCUACAGGAAGUAAUUGACUCACAUGCAAACUGUAAGAGUACCUUACACUCUUUUCUUUACAGUUGUUUUAGUGCGGAGACCCGUUUCUCAUUCAAAGCUACAAUAUUACCUCACAAAAGUUCUGCUUCAUACUGUCUGUGGUUUUGGACGUGGGAGCAGAAGUUGGCUGGGGUGACAAAUAGCGCGACCCAGCAAGACAUUUGAACACUGGCAAAUUUGCAACUAAUGGGAGCUGGGGCUUUUCUUGGAAACUAAAAUUUUACACUAACCUACACAUAACUAUGCUGAUGUUACAUCCUGACUACAGUAUGUCUGCGGUGCCUAAGAAACUAAAACAUCAAAUGACACUCUUCCAAGUUUUGUAAGAUUCUACUGUUUUCACUGUACAAUCAAAAAGCAAGCUGGAACUUACAUGUUGCCCUUUGAUCCAGAUGCAACUUGUUCCAAAACUUUAGCACCUUCAGGUCAAUUUCCUAAAUAUCUGGCCCAAUUGGUCAAGCACCAAGCAAAGGCGUUCGCUGCUCCGGCAGAGACGGAAGGGACCACAUCGGCGAGGCGGUGAUCCUGAGACCCACGCCACCCUCCUGUGUGACCCACCGCCGUCGAGAUCUCCAUGACCCC
This 2996-nucleotide long non-coding RNA is filed under the name Triticum aestivum (bread wheat). RNAcentral describes it as "long non-coding RNA (TAES_LNC004346)". Lineage: Eukaryota; Viridiplantae; Streptophyta; Magnoliopsida; Poales; Poaceae. The record is from RNAcentral.